UCACGGGGGUGCUGAGCAAUCGGCUGAGAUUAUACCCAUUGAACCUGAAGCAGGUAAUGCUGGCGCAGGAAAUAUGAUAGAU
Molecule: non-coding RNA, 82 nt
Filed under: uncultured Prevotella sp.
Lineage: Bacteria; Pseudomonadati; Bacteroidota; Bacteroidia; Bacteroidales; Prevotellaceae
Source: RNAcentral